This is a non-coding RNA of Zootermopsis nevadensis, 1125 nucleotides long. Lineage: Eukaryota; Metazoa; Arthropoda; Insecta; Blattodea; Termopsidae. The record is from RefSeq and is a predicted model, not a curated record.
ACGUGUAUUUAUAUAAUAAAUUUGGUUGUGUAUUUACCACAUGUAAAUUUUAUAUACUUAAUGCAGCUGUUAUAUAUGUGUUCCUCCCUAUCCCUGUGCUUCUAUACGUCACAAACUAUAGAGUUAAGUGGACAGGAUUAGAACUAGCCACGGGAAGUCACUUGGACCAAGCUUCUAGUUCGUGACCUACGAAUGUGGUUUUGUGCGUGAGGAAUAUUUAGCAAUGGUUUGUAGAUGUCGAGGUCGCUGAUAUCUGUUUCAAGAAUUUUCUACAUUUCUCAGGAGAUCGGAAGUAUGACAUCCCUGUCUUGGAUCCACUAGUGGUCGACAAACUUUCUCUGACACACAUGGGUUUAAACGCAUCUUCCAGCAAUUUCACCAUCGUGGGAGUGAAGGAUGCCUUUUUUGAGGAUAUCAGGAAUCUUAGGAAUUGAUCAUGAGACCGGUUGGAUGACCGAUGAGCUGUUUUUGCAAUGUCUGAAGCCAAAAAAGAAAGAGAAAAACAAAAUCAUGGAUCCGCUGUAUUAACCAGCAGUCCUUACGUAAAUGAAGUGUAGGAAAAGCUGCUGAAAAGAUAAAACAGGAUUCGAGAAAGUGUGGAAGGCAAGUGCGCGAAAGGUUUCAGUUAGAACCUGAAUGCAAGUUAUGGGCAUCCUCUGAGUGAACUGAUGUUUCGAAAAGAGAGAAAAAGUUCAUCUGUGACGUAUGCAAAUGAAAGAGAAAUGGAAAGAGAAACAUUUGAUGUGAAAACUGCCAUGAUAUGUGAAAGCCCUCUGUUCAAGAUAUCACUGUGAACAUAAGUUAUCUUUCAGUACCAAUAAAAUUCAAGAUAUAAUUUUAGAAAGAUUGUUAAUUUGGUCUUCAAUGUCCGUGUCAUUUUUCCCCGAGUAAAACGCCUAAAAUGAAAUAGAGAGUCAAAAUAUAAAACAAAUAAACAGGCAAGAAUUAUUUAUUUCUGUGCUUUAUUACAGCUAUCAUGUCAUUACCUUUUCUAUUAGACUGUAAAAAACAUCAAAAUUGGGUUCUAAAUAAUGAUAUAUUUUUUAUUUACAAUUGUCAAAAUGAUAUGAUAUUAUAGGCUUGUAUCCCCUACUAUAAUGAUGCAAAAAUAAAAACUUUGAUGAA